RNA transcript from Callorhinchus milii (elephant shark), 2569 nucleotides. It is a transcript of the gene named RNA-binding region (RNP1, RRM) containing 3, with no coding region annotated. The transcript is spliced from 16 exons. NCBI's taxonomy places the organism in Eukaryota, Metazoa, Chordata, Chondrichthyes, Chimaeriformes, Callorhinchidae. The record is from RefSeq and is a predicted model, not a curated record.
GAUCUCCUCUUCCGCCGCCGCCGUCGCGGGUUGGUGGAGGCGGUUGGCCUGUAAUGAGGCACGCGCUGGGAGGGAGCAGCCGUUAGUCUUUGAACCGGCGCUGCGAGCGGCGGCCUCCAACCGGAGAACAUGGCCGCCGUCAUCAACAAAAGCAAGAACGGGCGGACGGUGAUCGUGCGGCAUCUCCCGGCCGAGCUGGCGCGUAACGAGAAGGAGGAGCUGCUCCAAUGCUUCGGGGCCGAGUCUGUCCGGGUCUUCUCGGACAGGGGCAGAAUGAAACAUACUGCUUUUGCUACUUUUCCUUCUGAAAAUGCAGCUGCAAAGGCUUUGACCAGGCUACAUCAAUUAAAAAUCCUGGGUCACACUCUUGUGGUCGAAUUUGUGAAGGAACAUGUACAUUUACCAGAUCAACCGAAGCCCAUCGAUAAAAGCAUGUGUGAGGAUAAAACUUUGCGUAAAGAUGUCAGAGAGACUCUGAAGCCAAGUGGACCCGUUAUAGAAAAUGGGAUUGCUCCAAAACUUGGACUAAUCCAGCCCAUGAAUCCAUGCUUGAAAUAUUUGUAUCCUCCACCCACAAGUGUAAUUUUGGCAAAUAUUGCUAAUGCCAUGGCAAGUGUACCAAAAUUUUACGUUCAGGUUCUUCAUCUGAUGAAUAAAAUGAACUUGCCAGCUCCUUUUGGACCGAUCACUGCCCGCCCUCCAAUGUAUGAGGAGUAUUCUCCUGCCCCUCCUCCAAUGCCCCCAUUACCUCCAGAAGAACCUCCUUUGCCUGAAGAAGAAAUGGAUGUUUCAAGUGAAGAAGAAUCAGAAUACGAAAGUGGAAGUGAAGAAGACAAAGAGAGAAUGAUACGAUUGUUGGGAUUAGCCACUCUUCCACCGAAACGGAUACUGAAAAAGAAACUAUCUUCAGUCAGAAAGCGUCCAAAACUGAAGGAUUUGAUUAAUGUACCAAAAGCACCUUCCCAAAGUACUCAUUCAGCUGUGCCACCAUCUGAAGUUUUUGAACAACCACAGACUCACAGUCAGAAGAAAAUUGCAUUCCACAUUUCUGCUGAUGUUGUGGGUUUGCUAGAGGGUGGGGUAGACCGUCAAGAAGAGCAAGAAAAUACAGCUGAGGCCCAAUCUAUAGGAUUUGGUAAAAUCCAUCCGACUCCUGUUUAUUCUAAAAUUGAAGAGGAUGAGGAGGAAGAGGAGGAAAUCCUUACAGAGUUCAUUUCAAGGAGGGAUCUAGCAAAGGGAAGGAUCAGUAAAGAAGAAAUUGAAAGCAUAUCAGUCUUUAAAAAAUAUUAUCCGGGAGAACCAACAUGCAGACUGUAUGUAAAGAAUUUAUCCAAACAAGCUGAAGAAAAGGACUUGAAAUUCAUCUUUGGAAGAUAUAUUGACUUUUCAUCAGAGACUGAAAGAAAUAUGUUUGAUAUACGUUUAAUGAAAGAAGGACGUAUGAAAGGACAAGCGUUUAUUGGCCUUCCAAAUGAGAAAUCAGCCAUAAAAGCCUUAAAGGAAGUAAAUGGAUAUGUUCUCCAAGAGAAACCGAUGGUAGUUCAAUUUGCUCGGUCUGCAAGACCAAAACAAGAUUUAACUGAGGGAAAAAGAAGCAAACAAAAAUGAUGGUCAUUGGUUCAAAGCAUACACUUUGUAUACAGUAGGCCAGUUGACCAAAUUUGGAGGAUUAUUAAAUGUAUCCUUUCUUAUGUAUCCUUUAUUAUGUCAUAAAAGUAAUGCAGCAAAAAAGGUAUUGCACUAAUUUAGUUAGGAAAAACAAGGUUAAGAUAAAAGGUAAGUAGCAGAUGAUGGGCCAGUGUUUUUUUCACAUGCCUGAAAGGUCAGCAACCUACAGUUGAAAGUUGCAAGUUCUGAUCUUUCAUUGAGUGAAAAACUUUAUCCUGCUUAUGUGAACCAUAAUGUUGAAGAAAAAUAAAAGGGUAUUUUAAAUGUUAUGAAUUAAUGAAAUGUCUGGGCGUCUCCCACAGAAUAAUAGAUAUUUCUAAAAUGCUUUGGAGUAACUUGAAAUAGUUCAGUGCUGGUGAAAUGAUGAGAUUGGGUACCACUGCAUUUGCUUUUUUUUUGAUGACCUUUACCAAAGUUAGAUUGUAUACAUAAAUUUGAGACCCCUUUUCCUUUGAAAGUGUAAUUGCUCCAUUGAUGUUCAUUUUGCUGCAUUGAAUUUAUUUGUUCAUUUUGCUGCAUUGAAUUUAUCAGUAGCAUGUUUCCUUCCAUCCAAUUUACUGUCCUAACAGCAAAAGAGAAAGCAGAGGGGGAGAAUAUAAAACGGGGGAAAAUACAAUGUUUCUGUUCUAAGGGACUCUUUUGGGUGAUCCUCAGCUUGGAAAAUCAUUGCUUAGAGAAAAUGCCCAGCUAACAGCUGCAUGAAGACUGCAAAUAUUCAAUGUCUAAGUCCAGUUUUUUAAGUUAUCUACUGAAAUUACAUUUUACAAGUGUCCUUUCUUAUACUUUGUAAAGGUAAGAAUGACUUCGUUAUGGGCAGGCAAUUAUGUUAGAAUUGUAUGUAUUUAAAUGUUAAAAUCACUGUGUGUGUAUAUAUAUAUAAAAAAAAUAAACAUGCCAUUGU